Molecule: ribosomal RNA, 305 nt
Filed under: uncultured bacterium
Lineage: Bacteria
Description: bacterial SSU rRNA
Rfam family: Bacterial small subunit ribosomal RNA
Source: RNAcentral
UGCCCUACGGGAGGCAGCAGUGAGGAAUAUUGGUCAAUGGGCGAGAGCCUGAACCAGCCAAGUCGCGUGAAGGAUGACGGCCCUACGGGUUGUAAACUUCUUUUGUCAGGGAGCAAUUGGGUCCACGUGUGGGCUUAGCGAGAGUACCUGAAGAAAAAGCAUCGGCUAACUCCGUGCCAGCAGCCGCGGUAAUACGGAGGACGCGAGCGUUAUCCGGAUUUAUUGGGUUUAAAGGGUGCGCAGGCGGCGAGUUAAGUCAGCGGUAAAAUUUCGGGGCUCAACCCCGACGAGCCGUUGAAACUGGC